CGCACGCGCAGCGGGGAAGGUGUGAGUCGUGAACGGCCCGGGUCUCCGCCAUGGCCUCUCUACUCGCCAAGGACGCCUACCUGCAGAGCCUGGCCAAGAAGAUCUGCUCCCAUUCGGGCCCGGAGCAGCAGGCACGCACGUGGGCUGGCAAAACUCAAGGCUCAGAAACUGCAGGGCCCUCAAAAAAGAAAAGGAAGAAAACACAAAAUAAAUUCCGGAAGCAGGAAGAGAAGGCUGCUGAGCACAAGGCCAAGUCCUUGGGGGAGAAAUCUCCAGCAGUUUCUGGGGCCAGGAGGCCUGAGGCAGCCAAAGAGGAAGCAGCUUGGGCUUCCAGCUCAGCAGGGAACCCUGCAGAUGGCCUAGCUACUGAGCCUGAGUCUGUCUUUGCUCUGGAUGUUCUGCGACAGCGACUGCAUGAGAAGAUCCAGGAGGCCCGGGGCCAGGGCAGUGCUAAGGAGCUGUCCCCUGCCGCCCUGGAGAAAAGGCGGCGGAGAAAGCAGGAACGGCACCGGAAGAAGAGGAAGCGAAAGGGGCUGCGGGCGAAAGAGAAGGCCAGGAAGGCUGAGGAGGCCGCCGAGGCCCAGGAGGCGGUGGAGCCAACCCCAGAGGGGGCCUGCACGGAGCCGCGGGAGCCGCCCGGGCUGAUCUUCAAUAAGGUGGACGUGAGCGAAGACGAGCCGGCCAGCAAGGCACAGCGCAGAAAAAGAGAAGAGGCAGAGGGUGAAGGGGAACCUCACGCUGCUGACCGGGAGGAACUACCGGCAGCUGCUGGAGCGCCUGCAGGCACAGCAGAGCCGGCUGGACGAGCUGCGCGGCCAGGAUGUGGGGAAGGCGCAGGAGUUGGAGGCGAAGAUGAAAUGGACCAACCGCCUCUACAAGGCGGAGGGUGUGAAGAUCCGCGACGACGAACGCCUGCUGAGGAGGCCCUGAAGCGCAAGGAGAAGCGCAGGGCGCAGCGGCAGCGCCGGUGGGGGAAGCGCACGGCCGGCGUGGUGGAGAAGAUGCAGCAGCGCCAGGACCGGCGGCGGCAGAACCUGCGCAGGAAGAAGGCGGCCGGCGCCGAGCGCCGCCUGCUCAGAGCCCGCAAGAAGGGUCGUAUCCUGCCGCAGGACCUGGAGCGCUCAGGCCUGGUCUGAGUCUUUCCCACCUGGGGCUGCCGUCUUCGUCCUAGGAAACUCCAGGGCACCCUCUGAGUCCUUGACGCUGGCGCUGUCCCAGGAUCUCCACAGACCUCGGCCCCUCCAUGU
This is an RNA transcript of Nomascus leucogenys (northern white-cheeked gibbon), 1247 nucleotides long. It is a transcript of the gene named surfeit locus protein 6 pseudogene, with no coding region annotated. The transcript has a single exon. The record is from RefSeq and is a predicted model, not a curated record. Lineage: Eukaryota; Metazoa; Chordata; Mammalia; Primates; Hylobatidae.